Molecule: unclassified non-coding RNA, 1199 nt
Filed under: Leishmania donovani
Lineage: Eukaryota; Euglenozoa; Kinetoplastea; Trypanosomatida; Trypanosomatidae
Description: gene:unknown
Source: RNAcentral
GCUCACGUGCCUUUCGCGAAAUAUCACCGCGCACAGUAACUCCUUGGGGAUUUCAAGUGACGAGGGUGCGCCUCUUUUUCUUUGUGUGUGUUCAUGCGCUCUGUUCUCGUUUCCAGGUGACUCACUCUAGCAACACGAGCAUGCCGCCCUCGUUGACCAGAGUCGCACCUCGUCCCUGGCGCUCUUUUCUUCAAUCUAUUCCUUCUGCCCUAGCACACAAGUCGAGCACCGCUCUAACACCCCCACCCCCGGCCUGCCACAGGUCCGUGACGUGGUGCGAAGCAGCCGAAGACACACGUGUGCUACAGCAAUGCGACGGCCUAGUCAUCCAAGCAUGGGCUCUGCCUUGACCGCAGCUCACCCACCCGCUUCGCAGGCCGCCCCAGAGCCUCACCGCUCAUGUCGGUCGCCACACGAUGCAUCCCCUCGGAGGUGGCACUCCGGCUCCCCUGACCAGUAGGUGGUGUAAGGGGCCAGGGGAUGGGGUGCACGCUCGAGUGGCGUUCGCGCUUUACCCAUCAUGUGGAUCCUGCGAGCCUCUUCCCUGCCGCAGGUCGCUUCGGCGACCACGCCGUCCACGACCUGACCCGCCGACAUCCGCAGCGAUGCAUCGCUCAGACUUUCCCUGCGCCGUAGGUACCUGACCUUGUCGCCCAUCAGACGUGGCUCGGCAUUCGGCAGAGGGAUAGGGUUAGGGGGAGGGGCUGCGUGGCUCCCUCCCCCCUCCAACACACACGCACAGAGAGACAGAGAGAGAAUGUGCAACACGCUGACGCCCUCGUGGGGUGUUUUCCCAUCCACCGCCAUCGCAACUAUUCUCUUAUGUACUAAGACAUGGACAUGGUCCAAAGGGAGGCGGAUGUGACGCAGCAUGCACAUGGAAUGAUGCGAUAUUAUUCGUAAGAGAAAAUAAUGACGCGAUGCAGGCCAUCAGCGUAUCCGCGCUUGCCAGAUAUUUGGUUGGCGCGCGUGUGCGUGUGCGCUUCUUCCCAGUACGGCAUCCAGCGGAUGCCAUGGGCACCGGUUCUAAAGAGGUCUAUGUGUGCGUCUUGCAUUUUCUGAAGGUGGGCUUUUUCUUCCCCGCCUCGCACUACUGGAGGUCAUGCCGCCACCGUUGCCCUCCCAAUCUUUCUUCCACGGCUCCCGUCGUGGCUCGCGUCGGGUUUGCCCUCUUCUCUCUCCACACGGAACGGUCGAAG